RNAcentral lists this ribosomal RNA (126 nucleotides) under Bacteroidales bacterium. RNAcentral's name for it is "partial 23S ribosomal RNA". It matches the Rfam family "Bacterial large subunit ribosomal RNA", at positions 2787 to 2925 of the family's 2925-position model. The record is from RNAcentral. Lineage: Bacteria; Pseudomonadati; Bacteroidota; Bacteroidia; Bacteroidales.
GCGAAGCCUGCCCCAAGAUGAGUCUUCCUUACAGGGACGCCGCAGAAUACGGCGUCGAUAGGCCGCAGGUGCAAGGACGGAGACGUCUUCAGCCGAGCGGUACUAAUUGCCCGAAAGCUUUCUUUG